Molecule: long non-coding RNA, 5326 nt
Organism: Macaca mulatta (Rhesus monkey)
Lineage: Eukaryota; Metazoa; Chordata; Mammalia; Primates; Cercopithecidae
Source: Ensembl
AUGCGCGGAUGUCUGGCCACAGGUGGCCUGGCAGGCUGUAACCGGCCGCUGAGCGGGCCUUUUUGUGUCCCGAGGCUUGGGCCUGGCAGCCUAGUCCGUAAGCUAAGAAGAGGAGCUUUACGACUUGGCCUGGCGCAGCAAAGGCCAGACUCAGAGCCAGCAGGCGCUGGGCACCAAGCGGCCGGCGCCUGGCGGGCACGAUCGCACGGUCGCUCGGAAGCUCCUCAAUGGCCAGCGCCAACUACAGCCCAGUCAGCAGCCCCGCACUCGCCUCUUCUGAGCUUGGGCAAAUCUGGAUUGGGAAAGUCGACAUUAAUCAACUCAUUAUUCCCCACAGAUUUGUAUUCUCCAGAGUAUCCAGGUCCUUCUCAUAGAAUUAGAAAGACUGUACAGCUGGAAGCCUGUUAUCGAUUACAUUGCUAGUAAAUCUGAGGACUACCUAAAUGCAGGAUCACGAGUGGACAGACGUUAGAUGCCUGAUAACGGUGCAGUGUUGUUUAUACUUCAUUGCUCCUUCAGAACAUGGGUCAGUACCUUGACACUUCUGAUUCCUUUUGUUGUUGCUGUUGCUUACUGUUACCUUUAUGUGCAUAUUUUAGUAAUCUUUAAGUUUGUGACAUAUAUAUGACUAUACCCAUUAUAAAGUACCAAAUUUCAUAUAGAAAUGUCUUAGUUGAAAAGCCUUUUUAAGUCCUGUAUAAGCUAACAGUGAUUUUACUCCUUAGUUCUUCAUUCAUAAGGAUUUUCCCUGCUUCACGGAAAUAAACAGUGUUGCCACCAUGGUUUGAGGUCUCAAUGUGGCAAAUUUAGCUUUCAUGUUGACCACCCUGCUACUAAUUGAACUACCAAAUAAAGAGAAGCAGCCAUCCCAGUUAGACAUAUUCAAAAUAAACUCAAAGAUGCUAUUUAUUAUAAGUCUCGUAAGAGAUGGUUAUCAAAAGCACUUGCAUGCCAAUGUUUUCUUGUGCCAUUUCUUUCUACAAUAAUCUAUUUGGCUUCUGUUUCACUGUAGCUGUCAUAGACAUGUCAUUUAGGUAUCAUAUUAUCAGUACUAACUUUUUGUUUAUUAGAACAUAAGAACUAAAUAUCUAGACAUUAAUCUGAUGUGGUUGUUCUGUUUGUUAUAGUUAGCCCGUACUCCCUUUUUUGUUGUUUGUACUUCCCCUUUCAUUUUGAGUACAUAUAUGUGUCAUUGACAAAUGCAGAUUUUUCCAAUUAUUCUUCCUCAGUCUUUUCCUUUGGGUAAGUAACUCAGCAUAUAUAAUUCAGCCACCUGAUAAUUGUAACUCCACCAUCUCCCCCCCAAAAGAAUUGUAGCAGCAUCAGGCUGAAUAGCAUUAAGUUAUCUAACACUCACAGUACAGUAGUGAAAACCAAUUCCUUCAAGUAUACCUUUCUCUUCUAUUUUUGGCUUCUUGCUCUCUCUCUUUUUUUUUUUUUAAUAGAUGAGUCAAUGCCCAUUAUUACUCUAGAUGGAUAAGGGAGCCUUAAUUAUAUACUUAUAUUUUUGCACUGUUGGAUUGGAGUGGGUUAAAAAUGUUUCUUCUUUUAUGUCUAAUACUCUUAUUUUUUUUGCUGUGCCCUAGACCAUUGCAUAACUGAAGACUCCCACCUUCAGUCAGGAUUGGGUAGUACGUGUUUGUAACUACUUGGUGUUGCCUUUUGUUGAGGUAAUUUCAGUUAUUAUUAUUAUACUUUAAGUUCUAGGGUACAUGUUCACAAUGUGCAGGUUUGUUACAUAUAUAUACAUAUGCCAUGUUGGUUUGCUGCAUACAUUAACUCAUCAUUUACAUUAGGUAUUUCUCCUAAUUCUAUCCCUCGCCCAUCCUGUCGCCCCAUGACAGGCCUCAAUAUGUGAUAUUCCCAGCCCUGUGUCCAAUUGUUCUCAUUGUUCAGUUCCUACCUGUGAGUGAGAACGUGCAGUGUUUGGUUUUCUGUCCUUGCAAUAGUUUGCUCAGAAUGAUGGUUUCCAACUUCAUCCAUGUCCUUACAAAGGACAUGAACUCAUACUUUUUUAUGGCUGCAUAGUAUUCCAUGGUGUAUAUGUGCCACAUUUUCUUAAUCCAGUCUAUCAUUUUAUGGUGUUCUCAAUUUACAUAUUUAAAUCACUAAACUGACUCUUUGACUUAAAAGGCUCAAAAAAAGUAAUCUCAAAAAUACCACACACUGUAUAACUUUUCAUGAGUGUUUGUGUAGCUUCUUGAAUUUAUGUUUUUAAAUCUUUCUCGUUUACCUUGUCAGGGUCUUUUCCUGAAAGCCAGCUGAGUGAAAUCUUAACCUGCAGUUAAGUCAAUACAAUUUGUCAGCUUAUAACCAAUAUUAUUAUUUUAGAUCUUCUGGACUCUCUCCAAGUUUAGUAAUUCUCAUGAAAUCACAUUCCUUCCAUCCCCUUGGGGAAAAUUUUAUUUCUUAAAAUUGCAUGGGAAAUGAAAGCUUUUCUAAAAUAAAAAAAAAAUUAUAUUCAGAUGAUAUAUAGUGGCUUUGUGCCAUUUCUUAUUUGUCACAAGGGGUAAGAUGUUUAAAAUUGCUAUAUCUUAUACAUAAAAAUGUACCUUUCAAUAAUUUCUCAGUUUAACUAUUUUUAGAAAUGGAGCAAAGUUUUGCCCAUUUGUACAUGAUACUGUGGAUUAAGUGAAAAAAAUAUGAGGCCGGAGACAGUGGCUCACACCUGUAAUACCAGCACUUUGUGGGAGGCUGAGGUGGGUGGAUCACCUGGGGUCGAGAGUUCAAGACCAGCCUGACCAACAUGGAAAAACUCCUUCUCUACUAAAAAUACAAAAUUAGCCGGCCGUGGUGGUACAUACCUGUAAUCCCAGCUACUAGGGAGGCUGAGUCGGGAUAAUCGCUUGAACCCGGGAGGUGGAGGUUGCGGUGAGCUGAGAUUUCACCAGUGCUCCAGCCUGGGCAACAAAGCAAAACUCUGUCUCAAGGAAAAAAAAAAAAGAAUAUGACACAGAAUUUUAUGUACAGCGUUCCAGAUACCCUCCUCACUACAGAUUGAAAUUCUAUGCAGUCUAAUAAAUGAAUGAGAACCUUUCCAUCUUGUCUGGGUAGUCCCUAGCUUCCCUUUUUAGAGGGAUUUGUUUUUAGAGUAAUUAUAAAUUGGUCCAACAGUGUACUUUCAGUGCCUCCUACCUCCCUCUACCAAGUAUGAACUGCAUGCAUGGCUAAUUUGUGAUUUCAACUAUUAUUGCUUCAUGUGCAUUGUUCACUAUUUUGUAAUUGUUAUUAAAGUAAAAAGCUGACUUGAGACAUGAUUUUUAAAAUGGUGUUUUAUCCUUCUAGUAUUGAUUAACACUUUUAGAAAAAUUGGUAUCAUCCAGUGAGUUUUAUACAGAAGGAUUUUUCCCUUAGAAAUAUAUACAUACAUACAAAAAAAAUUGUCAUUUGUCCUGUAGUUGUUUACUAUGCUGUAGACUUUGAGGUUAAAUAGUCUUUUCUCUCUAGUGUGGGUUUAUCUUCUAUUUAUGACAAAGGAUUUGCUAUUGCUUAAAAACAAGAUUUAAAAACUAAAUUUCUUGAUGAAAAGCCCAGCCAAUAUAAAACUAAAUGGACAGAGGAAAAAAUUCAACCAGAAUGUAAUAUACAUGUGAACUAAAUGUUUUCUGUUGCUGAUGUUUUGUAGGCUUCUGAAAUUUAAUGAGACUUUUACAAGGUUUACCUUUUUUCCUAAAGUUUAACUUUUAAACUGACCUAAAUGUUUUUUGACCCUUUGGUUAUGUUUAAGAAGUUGACUUCCCUAAUUUCCUUGUCAUGUUUAUUUUUAAAUAUCUUUCUCUUUAAAAGUUGGGAUAUUAUAAUAAAUAUUCAGCAAGUAUUGUUUUGUGUUUAAAUAUAAAAUCUUGUUAUUUGGAUUUUAAUACUUUAUAUUAAAUGCCUUUAAGAUUUAUUAAAAUUUUAGAUUAACGGCUGGGCGCGGUGGCUCAAGCCUGUAAUCCCAGCACUUUGGGAGGCCAAGACGGGCGGAUCACGAGGUCAGGAGAUCGAGACCAUCCUGGCUAACAUGGUGAAACCCCGUCUCUACUAAAAAAUACAAAAAACUAGCCGGGCGAGGUGGCGGGCGCCUGUAGUCCCAGCUACUCGGGAGGCUGAGGCAGGAGAAUGGCCUAAACACCGGAGGCGGAGCUCGCAGUGAGCCGAGAUCCGGCCACUGCACUCCAGCCUUGGCGACAGAGCGAGACUCCGUCUCAAAAAUAAAUAAAUAAAUAAAUAAAUAAAUAAAUAAAUAAAUAAAAUUUAGAUUAAACUCUAUUGUUUUGUCACUUGAUUAAUAAGCAGAUUUGUAUCUGACAUAAUAAUAAGGCAGUGACAAUUUAAAUUUGUUAUGAGUAUAAAUUGAAAACCCAUAACAAUUUAGAAAUCUGAGAUUGAAUAUUUCAUGGCAUUUAUAUUUAGUGUUUUAUAUACUGAUUAAUGAAAAGAAACAAAACUUAGAUUUUUUUUCAAAGACGGAUAGAUUCAGGCCAGAUGCAGUGGCUUAUGCCUGUAAUCCCAGCAUUUUGGGAAGCUGAGGCAGGUGGAUCACCUGAGGUCAGGAGUUCAAGACCAGCCUGGCCAACAUGGUGAAACUUUGUCUCUAGUAAAAAUACAAAAAUUAGCUGGGCAUGGUGGCAGAUGCCUGUAAUCCCAGCUACUCAGGAGGCUGAGGCGGGAGAAUCGCCUGAACCUGGGAGGCAGAGGUUGCAGUGAGCCAAGAUUGUGCCAUUGCACUCCAGACUGGGCAAUAAGAGCGAAACUCAAAAAAAAAAAAAAAAAAAUUAGUUGGGUGUGGAGGCACACUCCCAUAGUCCUAGCUACUCAGGAGUCGAAGUAGAAGAAUUGGAGGCUAUGGUAAGCUAUGACUACACCGCUGCACUCCAGCCUGGGUUACAGAGCAAGAUCCUGUCAAAAAAAUAAAUAAAAAUGGAUAGGUUCUUUCAGUUAAUACUAAUGAGGCAAGAACACAGUUUACAGAUAAUAUAAACAGUGUUAUUCCAACCACACACUUUUUUUCAUUGUGCUCCCUGAAUGCCAGUGUCAAAUUUCCAGGGACUUCAGACAAGAAGAAUUAGAACAGGAGGCAACACUCUGAAUUCUCCAUGUCUGCUUUCUCCCCCUCACUGUCUCUGUCUUUCUGCCUGUCAGCCUCACCACCACAGUGAAGAUAUACAGUCAUCUUUGUUAAUAAAAAGGACUGGACUAUCUUAUUAGUCUUAGGGCCCUAACUCCCCCAAUUUUAAUAUAUAUGUUUCUCUUUCUUCAUUUUGAAAUGUCAGUCAAUUCAAUUAUUAGUAUUACUCAAUAAAAUUAAUAAGAGAAUGAGACCUUUAUUUUGUUUUUCUCAUGU